AUUGAACGCUGGCGGCAGGCCUAACACAUGCAAGUCGAGCGGAUGAAGGGAGCUUGCUCCUGGAUUCAGCGGCGGACGGGUGAGUAAUGCCUAGGAAUCUGCCUGGUAGUGGGGGAUAACGUCCGGAAACGGGCGCUAAUACAGCAUACGUCCUGAGGGAGAAAGUGGGGGAUCUUCGGACCUCACGCUAUCAGAUGAGCCUAGGUGGGAUUAGCUGGUUGGUGGGUAAAGGCCUACCAAGGCGACGAUCCGUAACUGGUCUGAGAGGAUGAUCAGUCACACUGGAACUGAGACACGGUCCAGACUCCUACGGGAGGCAGCAGUGGGGAAUAUUGGACAAUGGGCGAAAGCCUGAUCCAGCCAUGCCGCGUGUGUGAAGAAGGUCUUCGGAUUGUAAAGCACUUUAAGUUGGGAGGAAGGGCAGUAAGUUAAUACCUUGCUGUUUUGACGUUACCAACAGAAUAAGCACCGGCUAACUUCGUG
Molecule: ribosomal RNA, 483 nt
Filed under: uncultured bacterium
Lineage: Bacteria
Description: partial 16S ribosomal RNA
Rfam family: Bacterial small subunit ribosomal RNA
Source: RNAcentral